This 463-nucleotide ribosomal RNA is filed under the name uncultured bacterium. Its description in RNAcentral is "partial 16S ribosomal RNA". It matches the Rfam family "Bacterial small subunit ribosomal RNA", at positions 28 to 507 of the family's 1533-position model. The record is from RNAcentral.
GAUGAACGCUGACAGAAUGCUUAACACAUGCAAGUCUUUGGCGAAGCUGUGCUUGCACAGCCUAGCCAAGGCGGACGAGUGAUUAACGCGUAAGGAAUUAGCCCUCCAGUCAGGGAUAACAGACGGAAACGACUGAGAAGACCUGGGGAAGGCAGGCGGACUCAUGUCCAGCCUGAUGAAAAGGGAUGCUGCUGGAGAGCCUUGCGUCCUAUUAGCUUGUUGGUGGGGUAAGGGCCCACCAAGGCGAUGAUAGGUCGCCGGCCUGAGAGGGUGGACGGCCACAGGGGGACUGAGAUACGGCCCUUACUCCCGCGGGGGGCAGCUGUGGAAUAUUUUGGACUAUGGGGACAACUCUGAUCCAGACAUUCCGUGUGGAAGAUGAAGGUUUUCGGAGUAUAAAGUGCUUUCAGCAGAGAAAAAAAAAAUGACGGUACCUGCAGAAGAAGCGACGGCUAACUACGUG